AGGGACAACAUUUAGACUAAAUUAACAUUACGGGAAUACUUAUCAGGCUUUAUUUUUGAAGGGAUGCCAUAAAAGCUAUUAAUUGUCACUAUUAUUGAAUCAUGGUAAACAGAUUUUUACUUCUGGCUGCUGAGGAAUUGGCAUAUAGUUCUAUAGAAAAACUGAAUGAUAUGUUUCCAGCUUGCCUAGUAUUUUUACGAGGACGCUUUGGAUAAAAAUAUUAUUGUUAAUAGUGGAUGUUACAGAUAAUCGAAUAAAAAUUUCAUUUCAAUAAA
Lucilia cuprina (Australian sheep blowfly) is the source of this 275-nucleotide long non-coding RNA. RefSeq lists it as uncharacterized. NCBI's taxonomy places the organism in Eukaryota, Metazoa, Arthropoda, Insecta, Diptera, Calliphoridae. The record is from RefSeq and is a predicted model, not a curated record. The transcript has 2 exons.